GACGGAGGAUGCAAGGGUUAUCCGGAAUCACUGGGCGUAAAGCGUCUGUAGGUGGUCAAAUAAGUCAACUGUUAAAUCUUGAGGCUCAACCUCAAAAUCGCAGUCGAAACUAUUAGACUAGAGUAUAGUAGGGGUAAAGGGAAUUUCCAGUGGAGCGGUGAAAUGCGUAGAGAUUGGAAAGAACACCGAUGGCGAAGGCACUUUACUGGGCUAUUACUAACACUCAGAGACGAAAGCUAGGGUAGCAAAUGGG
RNAcentral lists this ribosomal RNA (253 nucleotides) under uncultured bacterium. Its description in RNAcentral is "partial 16S ribosomal RNA". It matches the Rfam family "Bacterial small subunit ribosomal RNA", at positions 524 to 776 of the family's 1533-position model. The record is from RNAcentral.